GGGGAAUAUUGGACAAUGGGGGCAACCCUGAUCCAGCAAUGCCGCGUGUGUGAAGAAGGUCUUCGGAUUGUAAAGCACUUUCGACGGGGACGAUGAUGACGGUACCCGUAGAAGAAGCCCCGGCUAACUUCGUGCCAGCAGCCGCGGUAAUACGAAGGGGGCUAGCGUUGCUCGGAAUGACUGGGCGUAAAGGGCGUGUAGGCGGUUUACACAGUCAGAUGUGAAAUCCCCGGGCUUAACCUGGGAGCUGCAUUUGAUACGUGUAGACUAGAGUGUGAGAGAGGGUUGUGGAAUUCCCAGUGUAGAGGUGAAAUUCGUAGAUAUUGGGAAGAACACCGGUGGCGAAGGCGGCAACCUGGCUCAUGACUGACGCUGAGGCGCGAAAGCGUGGGGAGCAAACAGGAUUAGAUACCCUGGUAGUCCACGCUGUAAACGAUGUGUGCUAGAUGUUGGGUAACUUUGUUAUUCAGUGUCGCAGUUAACGCGUUAAGCACACCGCCUGGGGAGUACGGCCGCAAGGUUGAAACUCUAAAGUGAAUUGAC
RNAcentral lists this ribosomal RNA (543 nucleotides) under uncultured bacterium. Its description in RNAcentral is "partial 16S ribosomal RNA". It matches the Rfam family "Bacterial small subunit ribosomal RNA", at positions 356 to 914 of the family's 1533-position model. The record is from RNAcentral.